This 630-nucleotide long non-coding RNA is filed under the name Homo sapiens (human). RNAcentral's name for it is "non-protein coding lnc-MTFR2-4:1". Lineage: Eukaryota; Metazoa; Chordata; Mammalia; Primates; Hominidae. The record is from RNAcentral.
GAUUACUUGAAGUAAUGUCAUUGGUUCAUAUUGGCAAGGUAUUAGAGCAUCCAUAGAUUAUGUUCCUUUUUGUUCUGAGGAAGUAGUGUAUUAAUGAAGUGGAAUUAGAGACUCUUGAUUUAAUCUAUUAAUUGCUCUUGGAUUAGAUGUAGUAUUGACAGGGACCUGUGAGCAACUUUCGAAACACUCUCCUGUUGAGGUACAAGAAAUUGAAAGGGUAGGAGUUCCUUGUAACACUUGAUUCUCUUUUGCUAGGUUUCUUAUUUUUAUUUUCUUUUCACCUGCUACAUGCCCUUCUGUCACAAACAAAUCUCUCUUAAAGUAAAGUUAACUAAUCGGACAGUAUUUCUUCUAAAUCAACAGAGCAAUACUUCAAGUCAGCUGCAAUGACCCUAAACGAGCGGUUCACUUCGUAUCAGAAAGCCACUGAAGAACAUAGUACUCGGCAAAAGAGCCCUGAAAUACACAGGAGAAUUGACAUCUCACCAAGUACCCUGAGGAAGCAUACCCGUUUAGCAGGGGAAGAGAGAGUUUUUAAAGAAGAAAAUCAAAAGGUAUGUUUUUGAAUGUAAUUUUUUUUCGUGUUAAGUUCAGCUUAGUUAAUGAUAUUGUACCAAAUAUAGUUUCUCA